UGGUUGCUCAAGAAAAGAAUUUUAGUUCUGUCUUAAAAAUUUAAAGCAAUAACAAGCUAAUUUUAAGGAUUACUCAAUUAGGGUACAGCCUAAUUGAAACAGGGUACAACCUAAAUUUUAGGAUAAUGAUUUAAUCUAAAAAGUCAAAGACUAAGUCGGCUUAAAAGCAGCCAUCUUUUAAAAAGCGUCAAAGCUUCGUCUUAUAACUACUUAUAUUUUAUUAAUUUUUCAAAAUCCGAUACUACUACUGAGCUAUUCCAUACUUCUAUGGAAUUAUUAAUGUUAGGACUAGUAACACAGAAUUAUUUCUCUUCCAUGUAAGUAUAAAUCAGUCCGGAUACCCCACUGAUAACCACCCAGAUUUGACUAAAUAGUAAUUUUGGAAUUCCCAUGAAAACACUACUUUCCUUCCUGUUGACCUAACACAAGAACAUGUAAGAAAGAUUAAAAGACUAAGAAGGAACUCGGCAAACACUAGUCUCGCCUGUUUACCAAAAACAUCGCCUUAUGAAAAUUAUAUAAGGUAACGCCUGCCCAGUGAUAUAUUUCAACGGCCGCGGUAUUCUGACCGUGCGAAGGUAGCGUAAUCAUUUGUCUUUUAAAUAAAGACUUGUAUGAAUGGCAUCACGAAGACUUAACUGUCUCCCUAGUCCUAUCAGUGAAACUGAUCUUCCCGUGCAAAAGCGGGAAUAAAACCAUAAGACGAGAAGACCCUAUGGAGCUUAAAACUAAAAUCUAAUUAUACUAUUCUAUUAAAUUAAUUAAUACUAUAUUGUAUAAACUUAAUUUAAGUUUUCAGUUGGGGUGACUGUGGAGAAGAACUUAUCCUCCAUGUAGAAUCAAGUUUUGAGCUACUACUCUUAGCAUUAGCAAGCCUAACUUUACUUGAUCCAAUAAUUUUGAUCAACGGACCAAGUUACCCUAGGGAUAACAGCGCAAUCCAUUUCAAGAGUCCAUAUCGACAAAUGGGUUUACGACCUCGAUGUUGGAUUAGGACACCCUGGUGGUGCAGCCGCUACUGAUGGUUCGUUUGUUCAACGAUUAAAGUCCU
This 1051-nucleotide ribosomal RNA is filed under the name Leptobrachium xanthospilum. RNAcentral describes it as "partial 16S ribosomal RNA". It matches the Rfam family "Bacterial large subunit ribosomal RNA", at positions 850 to 2597 of the family's 2925-position model. The record is from RNAcentral. Lineage: Eukaryota; Metazoa; Chordata; Amphibia; Anura; Megophryidae.